ACACCUAACCCUAUAUGGUGUCAGAUAUGGAAGUUAUCUUGUCCGGCUAAAGUCAAAAUCUUUUUAUGGCAGACACUACAUGGCACUCUCCCAUGUCGGGCAACACUCACUAAUAGACACAUGAAGGUCUCGCCCUCUUGCCCUACCUGCUCUCAGGGUGUAGAAGAUACGAAGCACAUGCUUUUCCUAUGUAGUAAAGCGAAGGAGGUUUGGAAAAGGCUUGGGAUGGAUAUGAUUAUUGAUAAAGCUUGUGAGAUUGAUCGUGCUUGAGAGGCGACAUUGGAAUACCUAUUACUCCUUCUAGAUCAAGAUCUGCACAUUAUGGGGUACCAAAAUGUUCGAGAAAUGAUAUCUAUCUCAGCUUGCUAUCUAUGGUGGGAAAGAUGGAAAUUAGUGCACAAGGAAUUAACUCAAAAUGCGACUCAGAUAUCAAGGGCGAUAGCUCUUACAUAUAAUUUUGUAAAUGCAUCAUCUUCAAAGGCGUCCAUGAAAAAGGGGGGUUGGUAAUGUCCUCCUAGGGGCCUUGUGAAACUCAAUGUUGACGCCUCUUUUGACCAUGACAUGUUGGAGGGUACAAUGGGGGCAGUCUUGAGAGACGACAAAGGUAGGUUUAUUGCAGGAUGAAAUGGAAAGAUAGACUACUGCGCGGAUGUUCUCAUGGCGGAGGCCUUAGCUCUCAAAUUUGGCCUAAAUUUAGCACAAAGGGCGGGAUGUAAUCGCCUAAUCAUCAACUCUGACAAUCUGGAGGUGAUUGAGACCAUGCAAGAAGGAGGACAGUCAUCGGGAGCGGCGGCAGCACUUUUAUCAUGA
RNAcentral lists this ribosomal RNA (810 nucleotides) under Triticum aestivum (bread wheat). Its description in RNAcentral is "partial small subunit ribosomal RNA". Lineage: Eukaryota; Viridiplantae; Streptophyta; Magnoliopsida; Poales; Poaceae. The record is from RNAcentral.